GAUGAACGCUAGCGGGAGGCCUAACACAUGCAAGCCGAGCGGUAUUGUUUCUUCGGAAAUGCGAGAGCGGCGUACGGGUGCGUAACACGUGUGCAACCUGCCUUUAUCUGGGGGAUAGCCUUUCGAAAGGAAGAUUAAUACUCCAUAAUAUAUUGAACGGCAUCGUUUAAUAUUGAAAGCUCCGGCGGAUAGAGAUGGGCACGCGCAAGAUUAGCUAGUUGGUGAGGUAACGGCUCACCAAGGCGAUGAUCUUUAGGGGGCCUGAGAGGGUGAUCCCCCACACUGGUACUGAGACACGGACCAGACUCCUACGGGAGGCAGCAGUGAGGAAUAUUGGUCAAUGGGUGCAAGCCUGAACCAGCCAUCCCGUGUGAAGGACGACUGCCCUAUGGGUUGUAAACUUCUUUUGUAUAGGGAUAAACCUACCCUCGAGAGGGUAGCUGAAGGUACUAUACGAAUAAGCACCGGCUAACUCCGUG
RNAcentral lists this ribosomal RNA (479 nucleotides) under uncultured bacterium. Its description in RNAcentral is "partial 16S ribosomal RNA". It matches the Rfam family "Bacterial small subunit ribosomal RNA", at positions 28 to 507 of the family's 1533-position model. The record is from RNAcentral.